UACAGAGGGUGCAAGCGUUGUUCGGAAUUAUUGGGCGUAAAGCGAGUGUAGGCGGUUAUCUCAGUCUGGUGUGAAAGCCCAGGGCUCAACCCUGGAAGUGCACUGGAUACUGGAUAACUAGAGGGCGAUAGAGGAGAUCGGAAUUAAUGGUGUAGGGGUGAAAUCCGUAGAUAUCAUUAGGAACGCCGAAAGCGAAGGCUGAUCUCUGGGUCGUUUCUGACGCUAAGACUCGAAAGCAUGGGUAGCAAACAGG
Molecule: ribosomal RNA, 253 nt
Filed under: uncultured bacterium
Lineage: Bacteria
Description: partial 16S ribosomal RNA
Rfam family: Bacterial small subunit ribosomal RNA
Source: RNAcentral